Non-coding RNA from Salmo salar (Atlantic salmon), 3669 nucleotides. Lineage: Eukaryota; Metazoa; Chordata; Actinopteri; Salmoniformes; Salmonidae. The record is from RefSeq and is a predicted model, not a curated record.
UUAGGUAGUUGUUGGGGAAUUGUUAGAUUACUUGUUAGAUUUUACUCCACUGUCAGAACUAGAAGCACAAGCAUUUCACAACACUCACUUUAACAUCUGCUAACAGUGUGUUUGUGACCAAUAAAAUUAGAUUUGAUUUGACACUAUUGAGUUGACUGAGGUUAUACGGCACAGAACCCUCUGACACUAUUGAGUUGACUGAGGUUAUACGGCACAGAGCCCUCUGACACUAUUGAGUUGACUGAGGUUAUACGGCACAGAGGCCUCUGACACUAUUGAGUUGACUGAGGUUAUACGGCACAGAACCCUCUGACACUAUUGAGUUGACUGAGGUUAUACGGCACAGAAUCCUCUGACACUAUUGAGUUGACUGAGGUUUUACGGCACAGAAUCCUCUGACACUAUUGAGUUGACUGAGGUUUUACGGCACAGAAUCCUCUGACACUAUUGAGUUGACUGAGACUGUAUAGGCUACUACUCAGCGUUUGAGGCUGAUAAUAAACAGAGGUCACAGAAAGAGCAUAGACAGAGGAUUUACACACCGAACGAUCAUAGUCACCUACACACGCAUUUACAAACACCAUGGGGAUGUUAUGGGAACAACCAGGGAUGAAAAAGGGCCCCAAAAAAUAUAUUCUGUCCAAUGAUCUGUCCUCUGAUGGAAUGAUUUCUCCAUUCCUGUGUAAUUUGCAGGGGAAAACAGGCCGGUCUGGAUCUGACGGUACUCCAAGUCCUAAAGGAUUUCGUGUAAAUUCUUUGUUUUGUCCUAAAUGAAUCUGUAGUGACAGAAGCAGUGUUUUUACAUACGUUGAUGUUUGUUGGAAUGUUUUUACAUAGGUUGAUGGAUGUACGGAUGCAUUAACCGUCUGGUCUCUGGUGUCACUGUAGGGGGAACCUGGCAUCAAUGGAAGGCCUGGGAUGGAGGGUAUCGAGGGUGACCUAGUGGAGUGACGGAACCUCCUGGGGAUACUGGCAUCAGGUUUCCUACACCUAAGGCCAGUUGAAAUCUGUUGUUAGAGGUGACUUCUACCUCUUUUCUGUCAUACGAUCUCUCUAGUCAUCUCUGACUCUAAUCCUAAUUUAUCCUGUGUCAGAACACCUAGGGUGAUAAAGGAAACCAGGGAAGACCUGGACCUACCAGUCCCAUGGGUAUGAGUGAACCAGGACUGCCAUAUGUCUACUAGUGUCUGAUUGGUCGUCCAGGGCUUCAGGGAACACAAGGGUUCCCAGGAGAGGGUCUACCAGGGCCUAAGGAUGACAUGGGUUCAAGGUUCAAAGGUGACAAGGGAGACCAUGGUCCACCUGGGUCUUCCAGCCCUCGUGGGCCACCAGGGCUGGGAAUAUUCAUCCCAAAGGGUGACCAGGGCUUCCCAGGGCAGCACGGACCACAGGGAGAGAGAGGAGUUGUGGAGCCAGGGCCGAAGGGUGAACCAGGACCUGACGGAUCCUCUGGGAUACCUGGUAUACUUGGGGAAGAUGGAGCGGUCCAACCUAAGGUUGUCACGUCCUGACCAGUAUAAGGGUUAUUUGUUAUUGUAGUUUGGUCAGGACGUGGCAGAGGGUAUUUUGUUUAUGUGGUUCGGGGUGGUGAUUUAUUUAAUAGGGUGUUGGUUUAGUUAGUUCUGGGUUUUUGGGGUUAUGUUCUAGGUUUGUAUUUCUAUGUGGUCUCUAGUCUUUUGUAUUUCUAUGUCUAGUUUAUUGGGGUUGGACUCUCAAUUGGAGGCAGGUGUUUUCUAGUUGCCUCUGGUUGAGAGUCCUAUAUAUGGGUAUGUGCUUGUGGGAGAUUGUUUCUUGUUUUGCCUGUGGGAGCCUGACAAGACUGUUUUGUUGUUCGUGCAUUCUUCGUUUUGUUAUUUUGGUGUUCCCUUUAUUUAAAAUAAAUAACAAGAUGAGCAUCCACAUUCCUGCUGCGUUUUGGUCCUCUAUUCCCGACGACAGCCGUUACAAAGGUAAGCAAGGUGUCAAAAGUUCAUUUAGAGGUCAAAGUUCAUUGGGCCCCAUUGUUCAUCUACUAUACAGUAUAAAGAGCACAGACAUUUGAAGUAGUUAUUACAUAACUUGUUUAUUGUCUGCAUUUUCUUUGUGUCUUGAAACAGGGUGAGAUUGGUUUGCCAGGACUGCGAGGAACAGAGUGUGCGCCUGGGAAAGGAAUUCCUGGAUUUUUUGUUGUUGAAGGUUUAGGGAUCUAGAAUGUUUACCCAGACAACCACCCAGAGUCCUAUAGAAACCUUUAGUAGUUCUGGCCUACCUGCAUACACCUACGUUAUACACAGCAUUGUCUGCUUCCAGUAUAAGAGUCAUACUGAUUAACUCAAACUUAAGCAAUACAAGAGAGGAUAUCCUGAAUAGUCAACCUUUGAAGUACAGGAUGGACAAAUAUUGUGCUGGGUCUUACACAACUUAAUUGAGUGAGUUUACCAGUCACCCUCUCCUGGGUGACAAAAUAUUGAACAUGCCCUAUACGUCAGGCUGGCUGAAUAAACAUUUCCUGAACACAAAGUCAAUAUAUAUCCACUACAACUAGACUCCCUGACUGGUGCUUCACCUUUAAAAGGCAGUUCCAAGCAAUAUUAUAUGUCAUAAUGAAAUAUGAUAAGUUAUGAAUGGUACCUCUAUUGAUAACGGAAGCUUAAACACAGUAGUGGUGCUUUUAGAGAAUCCAGACAGGGUUGGGCGUCCCAAAUAGCAUCUUAUACCCUUAAAGUGUGGUCCACUGCACUCUCGUGGAACUGGGUCCUUUCUAUGACUUCUGCAGUGAAACCUUUGACAAUGACGACCAAAAUGGUCAAGAAUUUGUCCAGGUCCUAGUUAUAGGCUAGCUACCUGAGCAGGUAAUAUGGGAAAUGUUAGGGUUAACAAUGUUAGGGUUACCAAUUCCCCCACCAAAAAAACCUCAGUCUCAACUUACUGUUGAUAGUUAAGUUAAUAGAAUACACAAGGUGCAAUUUCGAAAUUUGGUUGUGCAUCACCAGUCACUCAAUUAGCCCAUGUCAAUUUCUUUUUUAGGUUGGUAAGUUAGUCUGGUGGCCAGCUAUCUAAACUUGUAGUAAGCAUGGUCGAAUUACCGACCGGGGUGGGGCCCAUUGAUCAUCAGCUAUCAUGUUAAAAACUGCAAACAUUUGCCUUCAACCUAUGGCAAAUUGUGUAGAAUUGCAGGAAAUUAGCUGUAAAACUGUACAUUUUUAUCUCCGCUCCAUGGCAAGAUGAUUAGAAAUGUAGCGAACUUGCUUUAAAACUGCAACAUUUUCUCUAUGCCCCAUGGCAAAAUGUGCAGAAUUGCAGUAAAUUAACUUUAAAACAGAUUUUUUUUCCCCUUUCGCUAUUACGAGGGGGCCGCUAAAAUGUUUUGCUCGCAAGGUGGAGAGAUAUUGAUGUGGGUACACAGACCCACAAGCCACUGGGGCCCCUUAUGAUGAGUUCGGUUUUUUAGUGGCCCCCACCCCCAUCAAAGUUGCCCAUCCCUGCUGUAGAUGUUAGAGAAUGUUAGUGUUUAAGGCGGGUCAUCUUUAAUAGAGGAGGCAUUAGGAUUUAUGGCUGGGUUUGGUUUGAAGUGUUUUUUUAAAGGAAUUCUAGGGGCUAACUUUAGGGUUCGAUUAUAUGGCUGUUUAUGAGUGUCAUCUGAGGUUCCCUUUCAAGUUACAUGUGUGGAAUGCCACUUGGAAUUCUUCA